AUAUAUUACAAUUCAUGUAUGAUAUGCAUAUAAGUGUAUAUGAUUUAUGUGUACAGUUGAAAAAAAUAGGUCAAAUUCAUCGGUAGCCCCUCAAACUUGUCCGUAAACUAAGGCUUGUACUUAUUAAACCCCUAAACCCCCUCAAUUUGGUUCCAAUUGAGCAUUUUUUGCCCACAUCUCAUCAACUUCCAGGUGCGUCUCCAAACGCUGCUUAUGUGGAAAGUUAUUCCACUUUAAACCCUUCACGUGUAUAAACUAACUCCACAUAUACUUAAUACAUUUUAAUUUUAAAUGGACAAAAUCUCAUUCCAUGGAAGUUUUCUCUCUCUCUCCCCGUUAACUCUCUCUCUCUUCAUAACCCUAAAUUAACCAAAUUUUCACUCAAAUUAAAGGACAAAUUUGGGGGUUUUCCUCAGAUCUUCCUGGUGUAAGUGUUCUUAUGAUUUGUAUUUGUUAAAUUUUGUUGAAUUUUAGCAUAUUGUAGUUUUUAGGGUUUUGAAAUCACUGUUACGCAUAUGAUUUUAGGAAUAUUCUGUCGCCUUACUUAACAUGCAUUAAAGGUUGUAUCUUUUAGCUUACUGAUGUGUACUCUGGGUAUAUUUCGUGGCCAUUUCGUUAAGUAACUUUGAAUUUUUACCCUUUAUCACAGGUGACGUAAUAAAUGGAGAUAAUUUUUACAAAAUUGCACCAUGGGGGAUCCUUUUUCAAUACGGAUGUCCCUACAUAUGUUACAAGUUGUGUGCCAGAGGUAAGGUACAUUGACAAGGACCACUUUUCCAUACUAGAAUUGUUAUUUUAUACUAAAGAAUUAGGGUAUGAAGCUGUUAGGGGGUUUUAUUAUCAAGAUGCAGUAUCUAAUCAGUUCAAGUUGGUUAAAAGUGACAGACAUCUCUAUGAACUGGUUAAAAAUUUAAAACAUGAGGACUCUAUUGAUUUUUCUGUCUAUCAGGUUUUAGAUGAACCAAUUCUUGACCCUGAUGGUCCCACUGAUUUUUUACCUGCACCUGAUAUUAUUGAGUGUGCCAACCUAAAAAGAGAAAAUGUUGGUGUUGUUGAUAGUGCUAACAUAGAGAGGAAAUCUAUUAGAGUAGAGGAAGAGAGGGAGGCUGAUGUAGAAGAUGUUGGUGUAUAAGAAGAUGAUGAGGCUGAUGUAGAAGAUGUUGGUGUACAAGGAGGUGAUGAGGCUGAUGUAGAAGAUGUUUGUGUACAAGGAGGUGAUGCGGCUGAUGUAGAAGAAAUUCAUAUAGAAGAUAUUAACUUAGAAAAUUUUGGUGUAGAAGGAGGUGAUGAGGUUGAUGUAGAAGACAUUAAUGUAGAAGAUGUUAAUAGGCUAACAAGUAAGUUAUCAGAUUAUUUGAGUAGUGAUUCAAAUCUUGAAGAUAUUCCUUCAGAAGAUGGCUCAGAUGUUGAUGAGGAGUUGAGGGCUUUUAGACAAGAAAGAAGGGAAAAAAAACCAACAACAAAGAAAGAAACAAAAAAGCAAGAAAAAAGGCUGUUGAAACUAAAGAAGUACCUGCGAGAGUUGCUGGUUGUGUAGAUAGAGGCUUUGGGGAUAUUGGUAAAAGUAAGGCUACCAAAUAUUCUGGAAAGUUGGGUGGAGAUAAGGAAUAUAUUGAUAGUUCUGAUUGUUGGAGUGAAGAUAGUGAAGAGAUAGAUGUAGAUGCUGUUAGAGGAGUAGAUCUACCUAGAAGAAGGAGAUGUAAGAAAACUAAGUAUGAUGAAAAUUGUGAGUUUUCUGUGUUUGAGCUUGGAAUGAUUUUUGCGGGUGCAAAUCAGUUUAGAAAAGCUGUUGCAGAUUAUGCUGUAAAGUAUAGAAGGCAGGUGAAGUUAAAACCUAAUGAAAAACAUAGAAUAAGGGUGACGUGCAUUGCAGCUAAUUGCAACUGGUUGUUGUUUGCUUGUACUGAUAGGGAUUCAGGUGAUUUUAUUGUUAAGAACUAUAACCCUAUUCACAAAUGUAUACCUCUAAACAAGAAUAAGAUGUGUGAUUCAAAGCUGGUUGCUAGAAAGUCCAAGGACAGAAUAGCUUCUCAGCCAUACAUUAGGAUUUGGGAAAUUCAGAAUUUAGUAAGAGAGAUGUUGGGUCUUUAUGUAGGUAAAACUAUUUGUUAUAGGGAUAAAUAGAUUGUUAUGAGGGAGAAUAUGGGAGAUUGAAAGCUGGAAUUUGCCAGAUUAUGUGACUAUGUAGAUAUGAUCAAGACAACAAAUCUUGAAAGUUCUUGUUGGAUAAAAAUUGACAAAGAAACUGAACCAGGAAAGAACCUCUUUGUUUAUUUCUAUGUGUGCUUUCAUGCCUUCAAGCAAGGAUGGUUAGAUGGGUGUAGAAAAAUUAUUGGUUUUGAUGGAUGCUUUCUCAAAUGAGCUUGUAAGGGUGAGUUUUUGGUUGCUGUGGGGAAAAAUGACAACAACCAAAUAUAUCCUAUUGCAUUGGCAGUUGUGGAUACUGAAACAAAAUAUAGCUGGGACUGGUUCAUAAGGUAUCUGAUUGCAGAUCUAAAUCUGGGAACUGGUGAAGGCUUGACUGUAAUGUCAGACCAACAAAAGGGUCUUGUUCCUAUUUUGAUGUAUCUGCUACCAAAUGCUGAGAGAAGAUUGUGUGCUAGACAUAUUUGGAGCAAUUGACAUGUGCACUGGAGAGGAGAAGAGAGAAGGAAACAAUUUUGGAGAUGUGCAAAAGCAAGUUUUGGAGAUGUAAACAAUGUCAAGGCUAGGUAAGAAAGAAAUAACUGAGGACAUGCUGGUUAAUCCUCCCACUUCGUGGUGUAGGACAUAUUUCAAAACACAUUCCAAAUGUGAUAUUGUAGAAAAUAACAUGUGUGAGACUUUCAAUUCUUGGAUCUUAGCUGCUAGACGUAAGUCCAUAAUCACAAUGUUAGAGGAUAUCAGACAUCAACUGAUGAAUAGAUAUGUAGAUAUGAUUAAAUUUGCAGAAACAUGGAUUUCAGAUAUUUUACCUAUGGCAAGAACUAUUUUAGAAGCUAACAAGGAAUAUUCAAAUAGGUGUAGAGUUCUAUGCAAUGGAGUUAAUGAUUUUGAAAUUGAGGAUGGGGGUUACACAUUUGUUGUUCACUUGGACAAGAAGUAUUGUGAUUGUAGGUUAUGAAUGUUAAGAGGUAUUCCUUGUCCUCAUGCCACUUGUGCUUAUUAUUACUUGAAUGUAGAUCCUGAUCAGCAUGUAGAGCACUGGUAUAAGAAAGAAACCUUUCUUAAGUCUUAUAGUCAUUUCAUUCAACUAAUUACCAAUAUGAGAAUGUGGUCGGAAACCAAAAACGCAUCAAUUGAACCUCCAAAACCAAAAAAGAUGCUAGGCAGACCUGGCAAGAACAGAAGAAAGAAGAAGGAUGAGCCAAAAAAGUGGGGCAAACUCUCAAAAAACGGUGUCAAGAUCACUUGUUCAAGGUGCAAGCAAGUUGGCCAUAACAAGACUGUAUGUGCCAAAAUGAAUGGGAUGGGGAGCAGUAAUAGUAGUCAACCUAGCUGUCAGCCUGAAGCUUUAUGGAAUCCACCACCACCACAAUCAAGUUCUAUUUGUGGUGACACCAGUGCAAUGGCAAGACAUACCUACACUCAAAGUCAGACAACAAGAUCAAACUUCACCUUUCAUACAUAUGCAACUACAUAAUCCAGUCAAUCAGGAUCUAUUUGUGCUGACAUGGCUGCUGUGCCAAGAGCACCUCAAAGAAAGGUGUCAAGUGUGGCUGGUAGAGGUCAAGGUGCUGCCGGUAGAGGUAAUGGUUGUUCUGGUAGGGAUGAUGGUUCUGGUAGUGGUCAAUUUGGUGCUGAUAGGGGAGGUGAAAGAGGAAUUGGUAGAGGUCAAGGUGUUGCUGGUAGAAGUCAAGGUGCUGCUGAUAUCGGUAAAGGUUAUUCUGGUAGGGAUGAUAGUUCUGGUAGUGGAUAAUUUGAUGCUGAUAGGGGAGGUGAAGGAGGAAUUGGUAGAGGUCAAGGAGGGAGUGGUAGAGGAUUGCCAAGAAAAAUAGCCAAUGCAAGAGGGACCCCAUUUGAAAGUGGAAGAAAUGUUUCUUCCAGUCAAGUACCACCUUUGCCGACCAACAAGAGGUCAUACAAUGCUACCUCAUUUGUUGCUGCUACUGGAUACAAAAGGCCUGCAACUGGUUUUAGUGUUUACUCUGAUCCAGCAACUGGAAACCACGUG
Long non-coding RNA from Capsicum annuum, 4153 nucleotides. RefSeq lists it as uncharacterized. The transcript has 4 exons. Lineage: Eukaryota; Viridiplantae; Streptophyta; Magnoliopsida; Solanales; Solanaceae. The record is from RefSeq and is a predicted model, not a curated record.